This 253-nucleotide ribosomal RNA is filed under the name uncultured bacterium. RNAcentral describes it as "partial 16S ribosomal RNA". It matches the Rfam family "Bacterial small subunit ribosomal RNA", at positions 524 to 776 of the family's 1533-position model. The record is from RNAcentral.
UACAGAGGUCUCGAGCGUUGUUCGGAUUCAUUGGGCGUAAAGGGUGCGUAGGUGGCGGGGUAAGUCGGAUGUGAAAUCCCGGGGCUCAACCCCGGAACUGCAUUCGAUACUGCUUUGCUAGAGUACUGGAGAGGAGAUCGGAAUUUACGGUGUAGCAGUGAAAUGCGUAGAUAUCGUAAGGAAGACCAGUGGCGAAGGCGGAUCUCUGGACAGUUACUGACACUGAGGCACGAAGGCCAGGGGAGCAAACGGG